Molecule: ribosomal RNA, 457 nt
Filed under: uncultured marine microorganism
Description: bacterial SSU rRNA
Rfam family: Bacterial small subunit ribosomal RNA
Source: RNAcentral
UGGGGAAUUUUCCGCAAUGGGGGAAAGCCUGACGGAGCAAUACCGCGUGAGGGAGGAAUGCCUUUGGGUUGUAAACCUCUUUUCUCAGGGAAGGAGAUCUGACGGUACCUGAGGAAUAAGUAUCGGCUAACUCCGUGCCAGCAGCCGCGGUAAUACGGAGGAUGCAAGCGUUAUCCGGAAUCAUUGGGCGUAAAGCGUCCGCAGGUGGUUUCCAAAGUCUGCUGUUAAAGACUGGAGCUCAACUCCGGAACGGCGGUGGAAACUUGGAAACUAGAGUUCGGUAGGGGUAGCAGGAAUUCCCAGUGUAGCGGUGAAAUGCGUAGAUAUUGGGAAGAACAUCGGUGGCGAAGGCGUGCUACUGGACCGUAACUGACACUCAGGGACGAAAGCUAGGGGAGCGAAAGGGAUUAGAUACCCCUGUAGUCCUAGCUGUAAACGAUGGAAACUAGGUGUGGCU